AGAGUUUGAUCCUGGCUCAGAUUGAACGCUGGCGGCAUGCUUUNCACAUGCAAGUCGAGCGGUAGCGCGGGGGCAACCCUGGCGGCGAGCGGCGAACGGGUGAGUAAUACAUCGGAACGUAUCCUGAGGUGGGGGAUAACCUAUCGAAAGGUAGGCUAAUACCGCAUAAGCAAGGGAUUGGAAAGCGGGGGAUCGAAAGACCUCGCGCGUUUGGAGCGGCCGAUGUCGGAUUAGGUAGUUGGUGGGGUAAAGGCCCACCAAGCCGACGAUCCGUAGCGGGUCUGAGAGGAUGAUCCGCCACACUGGGACUGAGACACGGCCCAGACUCCUACGGGAGGCAGCAGUGGGGAAUUUUGGACAAUGGGGGCAACCCUGAUCCAGCCAUGCCGCGUGCGGGAAGAAGGCCUUCGGGUUGUAAACCGCUUUUGUCAGGGAAGAAACGGCCUGCACUAAUACUGCGGGCUAAUGACGGUACCUGAAGAAUAAGCACCGGCUAACUACGUGCCAGCAGCCGCGGUAAUACGUAGGGUGCGAGCGUUAAUCGGAAUUACUGGGCGUAAAGCGUGCGCAGGCGGCUUUGCAAGACAGAUGUGAAAUCCCCGGGCUCAACCUGGGAACUGCAUUUGUGACUGCAUGGCUGGAGUGCGGCAGAGGGGAUGGAAUUCCGCGUGUAGCAGUGAAAUGCGUAGAUAUGCGGAGGAACACCGAUGGCGAAGGCAGUCCCUGGGCCUGUACUGACGCUCAUGCACGAAAGCGUGGGAGCAAACAGGAUUAGAUACCUGGUAGUCCACGCCCUAAACGAUGUCAACUGGUUGUUGGAAAGGUUCCUUCUCAGUAACGUAGUAACGCGUGAAGUUGACCGCCUGGGGAGUACGGCCGCAAGGUUGAAACUCAAAGGAAUUGACGGGACCCGCACAAGCGGUGGAUGAUGUGGUUUAAUUCGAUGCAACGCGAAAAACCUUACCUACCCUUGACAUGUCUGGAAUUCUGCAGAGAUGUGGAAGUGCUCGAAAGAGAGCCAGAACACAGGUGCUGCAUGGCCGUCGUCAGCUCGUGUCGUGAGAUGUUGGGUUAAGUCCCGCAACGAGCGCAACCCUUGUCAUUAGUUGCUACGAAAGGGCACUCUAAUGAGACUGCCGGUGACAAACCGGAGGAAGAUGGGGACGACGUCAAGUCCUCAUGGCCCUUAUGGGUAGGGCUACACACGUCAUACAAUGGCGCAUACAGAGGGAAGCCAACCCGCGAGGGGGAGCAAAUCCCAGAAAGUGCGUCGUAGUCCGGAUUGAAGUCUGCAACUCGACUUCAUGAAGUCGGAAUCGCUAGUAAUCGCGGAUCAGCAUGUCGCGGUGAAUACGGGCCCGGGCCUUGUACACACCGCCCGUCACACCAUGGGAGUGGGUUUCACCAGAAGCAGGUAGCCUAACCGCAAGGGGGGCGCCUACCACGGUGAGAUUCAUNACUGGGGUGAAGUCGUAACAAGGUAACC
This 1486-nucleotide ribosomal RNA is filed under the name uncultured Green Bay ferromanganous micronodule bacterium MNA5. Its description in RNAcentral is "bacterial SSU rRNA". It matches the Rfam family "Bacterial small subunit ribosomal RNA". The record is from RNAcentral. Lineage: Bacteria; Pseudomonadati; Pseudomonadota; Betaproteobacteria.